AAACUUUCAACAACGGAUCUCUUGGUUCUGGCAUCGAUGAAGACGCAGCGAAAUGCGAUAAGUAAUGUGAAUUGCAGAUUUCAGUGAAUCAUCGAUCUUUGACGCACAUUGCGCCCCUGGUAUUCCGGGGGCAUGCCUGUUCGAGCGUCAUU
Molecule: ribosomal RNA, 152 nt
Filed under: Calluna vulgaris root associated fungus
Lineage: Eukaryota; Fungi
Description: 5.8S ribosomal RNA
Rfam family: 5.8S ribosomal RNA
About the family: 5.8S ribosomal RNA (5.8S rRNA) is a component of the large subunit of the eukaryotic ribosome. It is transcribed by RNA polymerase I as part of the 45S precursor that also contains 18S and 28S rRNA.
Source: RNAcentral